GAUUAUUCAUGAUGAUCUAAAUCUUACCUACAUUAUUUGAUGUGAAAUGAAACAUUCUUUUAAUUUUCUGAGAUUAUC
Molecule: small nucleolar RNA, 78 nt
Organism: Diachasmimorpha longicaudata
Lineage: Eukaryota; Metazoa; Arthropoda; Insecta; Hymenoptera; Braconidae
Product: small nucleolar RNA SNORD34
Exons: 1
Source: RefSeq, a predicted model, not a curated record